RNAcentral lists this ribosomal RNA (283 nucleotides) under uncultured bacterium. Its description in RNAcentral is "partial small subunit ribosomal RNA". It matches the Rfam family "Bacterial small subunit ribosomal RNA", at positions 26 to 285 of the family's 1533-position model. The record is from RNAcentral. RNAcentral also lists the same sequence under 1 other name.
AGAAUCAACGCUGGCGGCGUGCCUAACACAUGCAAGUCGAACGCGGUUAUUUCAGCUCCGCAAGGCGUUGGGAUAACUGAGUGGCGAACGGGUGAGUAACACGUGGGUGAUCUACCUUCGAGUGGGGGAUAACGUUCCGAAAGGAACGCUAAUACCGCAUGACGUUCUGGGUUUGAAGACCUGGAAACCAAAGCCGGGGACCGCAAGGCCUGGCGCUUGGAGAGGAGCCCGCGUCCGAUUAGCUAGUUGGCGGGGUAACGGCCCACCAAGGCGACGAUCGGUA